UUUUUCUUCAAGCGGUUUGAAGACAUAUCCAUUCAUCCCACUCUUUGUGCAUUGCUCAAUUGUAGCUGGAAAUACAUCGGCUGUCAUGGCAAAUAUAGGUAAAUGCCACUGAUUGUUAUUUUCUUCCGUUGUGUUCUUAUUUGCUAUGCUCUCCAUCAUGCGUAUCUGCCUCGUUGUUUCCAUCCUGUCAAAAUAGAUAAAUCACUCAUAAGUAUAUACCCUUAUGUUAAAAGAAUUGAAGUUCAUACAUGUCCAGUUUUAUUAAGAAAUAAAAAUGUAAAGUUGUAAACAAAACAAAAAACAACAAUCAGUAUCAAAAGCAAGAGAUUUACCCAUCCAUUCCAGGCAUUUGGACAUCCAUGAAACACAUAUCAAAUUUAUGUGGUAUUUGGAGGCAAGAAAGCGCAUUUUCACCACUAUGGAUAUAUUGCACAUUAGCACCAUACUUUUUGAAUUGACUUUGAGCAACUCUACAAUUAAUUAUGUUGUCAUCAACAAUUAAGAUAUUUUUCCCCCUUAGCAUGGUAUGACAAGAAUUUGAAAUAUUUUGAGUUUCUUUCUUUUUCUCUUCUUCCAAAAUAAAUAAUGGUUUGAGAUAAGCAGCCAAUAAACUUGAUCUUAAAGGUUUCACAAUCAAAGCAUCAAAGAUAUCUUUAUUAUUAAUUUCACCAGAAUCUGAGGUUGCCAAAAGAAUUAAUUUAGGCAUCACGGGUAUAUUGUAUUUUUUCUUCCAAUCAAGAAACUUCUUAUGAAAACUACUACCCAUAUCCGUUUUCCAUAGAUCUUUCUCUAUCAAUAGAAGGUUUAUAUUUUUCCGAGUACUGCACAAGCAAUAGUAACACAGGCAAAAUAAGUCAAAUGAGAUUUACGAAAAACUGAUUUCUAGAAAACAAAAAGCAGAACAAAGGAAUAUGUUCAAUUAACAGAGAAAAAAUAGGAACUAAAAUAGUUACUUCUAACCAUAAGCAACAUGCAUUGUACUAAUAUUAAAACCCAUUAAAAAAUCCAUAAAUAAAGGAAACACAAAAAAUAGAUGCAAUUGAAGAUAAUGAAGUUCAUAAAAACAUUUCCUUAAGCUGUUAAGUGUUAAGCAACAUGAAUAAGUUAAACAACAUAAGGUUCUAAGGCUGACAUGCAUACCAAUGAUGUGAAAUUCUGAAUUAAUCCAUGUGAUCAAUCAAAGUCGUCUUAAUUAAAAUGUAUAGAUAUUACUAUAUUAGAGAUGUAUUUUUUAUGAUCAUAACAUCUUAUAUUAAACAAUCAAAUAUUGAUUGAUGAUGUAUUUGUUUAGCAUUUAAAGAAUGCAGAUCAUUAUAAAAAUUGAAGGAAUUAUAUAUAUAGGAAAAUAUUCAUUAGAUUCAUAGAAAAAUCUACUAAUGCUAAUGCAAUGAAACCUAAAUAUGAAAUCAGAUCAAGACAUUGACUUAAACAAUUCAGAUGAAAUUAGUUUCAAACAAUUAUUUCAAGCAUGAUUUUAUGGAACAAAACUUACCUUUGCAAUAAACGACUAUUUUCCCCUGUUACAAGCACAAGAGCAUCUAUUAAAUUACUAAUGUUUUGCACCGUAAUACCCAACCUUUGCAAAUGAUAUUUAGUGAUAGCCCCUCUAAUUGGUCUAUCAUCAACCACAACUGCAUUAAUCCCUUUGUUGGGAAACGAAAAUGUCUUUCUCUUGAUAUCAAUGUUAGUACUUUGAUCACAUUUUGUAAACAUGCUGGUAAAUGCAAAGGUACUUCCAAUGUCAGAUCGACUAAUAAAGCUCAUUUGUCCACCCAUCAAUUCAACCAGACUUUUGCUAAUGCUAAGACCAAUACCAGUUCCUCCAUAGUUUCUGGAAAUUGAGCUAUCUGCUUGCAUGAAUGGUAUAAAUAUCUGAUUUUUAGCAUGUUGUGGAAUUCCAAUUCCAGUAUCCUCUACAGUUACCACUAGAGUUACAUCAUAAUCAGAGAUGUGAACAAAUUCAGAGAGAAGUGGUUGGAGAAUUUCCCAACUACUACUUUUAUCGGCAGCUUCCAGACCACUUAAAGUAUCGUAAGAAUUUGUUGAAUCAAAAGUAUGAGUAUUAUGAAUUGCUGCAUUUUUUCUCUUUGUCACCAUUUUUACUUGAUUUGCUAAAUGAAUAUGAACUAAUAUAUGGCCAUGUUUCGUAAACUGUAAAAAAAAAAUUGCAUAAAUAAAAGGAAAUUUAAAAUAAUAUAUGACAAUAGUCUUCUAAUCAAUACUAAAAAUGUCAACAAAUACUGAAAACUUAUUUUACUAAAUUACUGACUUUGAUCGCGUUCCCCACGAGGUUUGUAACAAUCUGUCUAAAUCUACCAGAAUCCCCAACAAGAACUUCUGGAACACUAUCAGAAACUACUACAGCUAACUGAAAUUGUGAAUUAAUUCAAUCAGUAACAAAAAAUAAUUGGAUAUUUUGAAGAAACAAAUUGUUAAAAAAGAGAGUAAAUAGGAGCAAUUGGAUCUAACCUCAAUAUCAUUUUCUCUAGACAUUACAGAAAAUAAAGAAAUGAUUUCAUCUAAGACAGAUCGCAAAUCGAAGGGUGUUGCAUCUAUUUGUAAUUUUCCAGAGUCAAGUUUUGCUCUAUCAAGCAUAUCAUUUAUUAAUGAUAAAAGGGUAUAUCCAGAUAUCUGAGCAGUAUGUAUAAGAUCUUUUUGGACUGAAUUGAGAUCAGUAUCUAAUAAAAUCUCCAAUAUACCUGUAAUAAUAAUAAUAAAAAGCUUCACUAUGUUUCUAUCUCAACUAAACAAAAUGUUAAGUACAACGUGACUGUACCUAUGAUACCAUUCAACGGAGUUCUAAUUUCAUGACUCGUAGUAACAAGGAACUGAAAUGAUAAAAAACUGUGAAUCAUAAGUUGGCAUACAUUGUAAGAAUCAUAAAUUAUUAAAUAAUUAUCAAUCCCGAAUCUUUGUUAUUUUUAUGUUACAUGAAAAUGAUUCCAAAGUGGUAAUAACAUUAUAACUAAAAGCUGAAUGAUUUCGAACCUGUGAUUUAACAAUAUCUACAACAUCAUCUCGAACUUUUAACUCCUUCGCCUUUUGCCAAAUUUGUACGAAAAUCAAGGAGAAGGUUGUAUACGAAACAAAGAAUAUCCACCCAAUCAGCAUACACAAUGCAAAUAUCAAUGAUGGGAUUGCGAUGGUAAGCCAAUCAAUUGGAGGAUUAUACCUGAAUCAGAAUAAGCAACAAGGGUUUAAUGAAUGUACAAUCAUUAAAAAGUGUGACAUAUUUUUUUUGAUAUUCUUACAAUCUUACCUGCAUUUUAUUUGAUGCUUUCUGUAUGGAUCUGCAAAUUCAAGUGUGGUUGCAUAAGAAACUGAUUUAUAUCCACCGGUGGUUUCAGUUCCAUACAUGAUCAAAGGCUUAGACAUGUUGGUCACAUCAUAAACAUUCACCAUUACCUCGUGAUUACCAGCCACUUGUUUCAAAAAAUUUCCCACAACUGUGUCCAAUUCAAAAGCUCCAAAAAGGUACCCAACAGUCUCUUUAAUACGUUCUUCAAAUGUUGCAUCUAAAAGGAGGUUUUGAUUGUAUACAGGAAUGGUUAGAAUCACACCUAAAUGAUUCGAUUCAAACAAUUUAAAUGGAUUUGUAAGGGCAAUUUUUCCUGUGGCCCUGGCUCUAAGGAUAUUCUCACG
RNAcentral lists this long non-coding RNA (3642 nucleotides) under Zostera marina. RNAcentral's name for it is "long non-coding RNA (ZMAR_LNC005223)". Lineage: Eukaryota; Viridiplantae; Streptophyta; Magnoliopsida; Alismatales; Zosteraceae. The record is from RNAcentral.